RNAcentral lists this ribosomal RNA (2157 nucleotides) under Triticum aestivum (bread wheat). RNAcentral's name for it is "partial small subunit ribosomal RNA". The record is from RNAcentral. Lineage: Eukaryota; Viridiplantae; Streptophyta; Magnoliopsida; Poales; Poaceae.
AUGACGACCAACCGGAAUCAUCGGGCAACGCUCCAUGUCGUCGGUGUUCACCUCCAUCUACACAAUACAACAAACAAUAAAUUGCGUGCCUCACCGGUGCCAGCAGAUGUGUUUGAGGGGCCGGAUCCGGCUCACACUAGCAUUGCCCUCCAAAUCCAAUCCAUGGCGUCCGAACCCCAAUCGUCCUCGGAGGGCGACCACCCAGACCUGAAGGAAGACGAUGGUGCGGUGGACUUGGAGAUGGAGGAUCCCACCGGCGGAAGCAGCAGCACCGGCAGGCUGCUGUACAAGCUUCCGGCGAGGAUAUCAGGGAUGCUUUAUCCCCACCAGCGCCAGGGGCUUGGCUGGCUUUGGUUUCUGCAUUGCAGGGGGACGGGUGGAAUCCUCGGCGAUGACAUGGGACUGGGGAAGACCAUGCAGGUAGGAGAAGCUUACGUUGCAUCUGUUCUACAAUCCACUCCCCACAAUAUUAGUUUUCGGAGGACGCUAGUCGGAAAUCGUUGGGAGGCUUGGCUCCACCUUGUUAGACGUUUAAUGGAGGUUCGGCUGACCCAGCAACCAGAUCAGCUGCAUUGGAAACUUACUAAGAACGGUGCGGCCACGGCAUUCAUCCGUAUGUGGUUGCUACUCACUCCGACGGAGGCCAGGGAGCGUUUGGAGGGCGGUGUAGUAUUGACAACAUAUGACAUCGUCCGGAUAAAUUACAAACUGAUAAGGGGUGACUUCUACCAUGAAGCCGAUGAUGAGGAGGAGAGAAACCUAUGGGACUAUGCUGUUCUUGAUGAGGCAUUCCAAAGCAUAUGUGACAUACCAUGUGUCCAUCGGAUUGCCAUCAGUGGCACACCUAUACAAAAUAACUUGAAGGAUGCCACAAAUCGAGAGAAGCACAUUGGCUCAGACGUAGCUAAGACAAAUGGGAAAACACUUGCUAAGAAGAAUGAGCUAAUUAUCUGGCUGAAAUUAACAGAUUGCCAGAGGCAACUAUAUGAAGCUUUUCUGAAGAGUGAUAUACUUAACACAAUGCGACCUCCCUUGCCUCACAUCACGAUAUUGAAGAAAAUAUGUGAUCACCCACUGAUACUGACAAAGAUAGCCGCUGAGGGCACCUUGGAAGGCAUAGAAGACAUGGACGGAAAGUUAAAUGGUCAUGAUAUGGUUAGGCUUGAAAAAAUGGCCCUGAACCUAGCUGGUAUGUCCUAUGAUGAUGAUGAUGAUGAUGCACUGCAAGUCGGGCAGGAAGUCUCAUGCAAAUUAUCUUUCAUGUCCUUGUUGCGAAAUCUUCUUGAAGAGGGACACCAUGUUCUAAUUUUUUCUCAGACUUGCAAAAUGCUAAACCAUGUUCAGCAAGUUAUAUCAGUAGAGGGCUACAAGUUUUUUCGCAUCUAUGGUACCACCAAGAUCUCAGAGAGGGAAAGGAUUGUGAAGGAUUUCCAGGAGGGUUCUGGAACUCCAAUAUUUUUACUGACUACCAAAGUCGGUGGUCUUGGACUUACACUCACCAAGGCAGAUCGCGUCAUAGUAGUCGACCCUGCUUGGAAUCCAAGUGUCGACAGUCAGGCUGGCGAUCGUGCUUAUCGAAUUGGACAGACAAAAGAUGUGAUUGUAUACCGCUUGAUGACAGCUGGAACUGUUGAAGAACAGAUAUAUAGAAUGCAGGUCUUCAAGUGGGGUUUGUUUAGGACAGCCACUGAGCAGAAAGAACAAACACGCUACUUCAACCAGAGGGACAUUCAGGAGCUUCUUAGCCUACCGGCACAAGGUUUUGACAUCUCCCCUACGCAAAAGCAAUUGCAAAAAGAGCAUGAACAUCAGCUUGACAUGGAUGAGUCACUGAGGCAGCACAUAGAGAUUCUAGAGCAGCAAGGAAUAGCCGGUGUGAGCCACCACAGCCUCCUGUAUUCCAAGACAGAGGUCUUGCCAGCUUUGACCAAACAGGAUUAUAUCAUCAACUUUAUCAUCUUCCUUAUUUUCUUCAAUUCUGAGAGUGCGGAUAUGCAAGUAGGGAGCGGGCCGGUCAACUUGUUAUUGCUAGCAUCAAAUGUCAUAAGUAUCAGACUGUCACAUAACUUCUCAGGAAUUUUCCCAGCGAUUUCAUUAUCACUGAGCAAUAGAUAUGACGUUGGCAGAAAUAGAUCACUGCAAAAAAAGUUUAAAUAG